AGUACGCCCUGGAAGGGGAGCUGGGUCCCUGGCCCGGGGGCUGCCCUCUGCCUCCUGGCUCCGGGAGUGAGCCGCUUCCUUCACCACCGGCUCCCACCAGGACAUUCUGCCCCAAACAGGCCCCAAAGCCAGGAAGCCAACCAGCCAUGGACUGGGACUGUGAGCGGAAACGAACCUUCCGUCCUUUCACGCUGUUCCUCUCAGGCUGGAAGCUGAUUUCCAAGUAUGCAAGAUCCCUCUAGCCUGAGGGCCUGCCCACUGUCAGCCCUGGGUAAACACUGAGCAUCUGCCGGUCAGUCGAAUGCUGCUUAUUUAUUCUUUCUUUAGGAGCCCUGGAGCUGAAGACUGCUCCUGAUAAGAAACCCCUCCCCUGUGCCCAUACGCCGUUGGCUCAUGAAACUUCCUGCAGUUGUGUUUCUUGUUAUCUUGGCAGCUGAUCUAUAAGCAGACAGAGAAUGCCAGGCUCACUCCAGACCCCCAUCAGCAAGGACCAGUCAGUCAUCACCCCUGGCAAGGAGAAGGGACACCCUCCCUCUGUGGGCGUCAGGGCCCUGGGAAGCAGGUCCAGACUCUCAGGAGACAGACUGCGGACCCCAUUGCCUUCUCAUCAUCCAGAGUCCUGACCUCCACCUGGGAAAUGUCUGUGCCUCCAUCACGAAGCGUAUAAGUGGUUGCCGUGGGAGGCACCGUGCUGGAGUCCCCAGCCUGCCUGCCCACCCCACUCCCAGCCUGUGCAGAGGGGAUGGAGCCCGUGGAGCUGGCCCCCACUUGGUCACCUUCCCAGAACCUUGCCAGGGUCCCUCGCCUAUGCACAGCAUUUGCUGCUGAGAACGUGGUAAGGAGGGACUGUGACAGGGGCUGACGUUCUGUUCAGUGCUCGAACAAAGAUACAGAUGACAAAACGUGGGUCCACUCUCCCACUUCGGCACAGCUUCCAUCCAAGACUAAGCCAGCGCUGUUGUCAGAACAGAGAAGCAGAAGGGACCUGGGUUCUUUAUCACAUUAUUGUGCUGCUGGAAGGAUGGACCCUGCCUCAGACUCCCAAACUGUGGCCCAGCAAGUGCACUUGAUCUUGAGGCCAGGUUGAGUCGGGUUUUGUGUUACUCACAUCUAAGACAACCCUCAGUGUUCAAUCUGUCUAAACCCUCGUUCAGUCCAAGAGAUGUUAUGGCUGUGGUGUCUUCUAGAUGAUUGCUCUAAUUAAUAUCGGAAAGGUAAAAAGUUGCUUUGGUUUGCCUUACGUCUGUGAAUUGGUUAUGGUUACUGGUGUCUAAAGUCACAUUUUCCUGGAGCCGUAUUCUUGAUUCACGUAGAGUCUGAGUAACAGUUGAAAGCAACUCAACUCCCAAAGCCCUGGUUGCACAUCUACUCUGCCCCCCACACGAUGCUCAGGGCCAACGGGCACAGAGUGGUUCCCAGUAGGAUGUGGCUCCUUUCAAGCUCCAACAGAGCUUGAACUCCUUUGGAAAUCAAACGUCACAUUAGGAGCUCGAGUGGUGGCAUCAUACACCAGGUCCAAAACUUGCCUUGCUCUGCCGGGCAGUACACACGUCCCGUUUCCUCCUCACCUCUUACUCAUGCACGAGGAGAUUAAGUUCAAAGGGUACCUAACUUUCUCAGAGUGACUUGUCAGACAUAAUGAUGCUGGGACAUGGUACAGUACUGAGUCCAAAGCUAUAGACAUCCAAUGUUUGGGUGGGAUCUGAAUGUGUCACUGAUGGCCACAGGCCCCCGGCAGCCAGUUCAGGGCUGGUGUCAUUUAUCUGUUCUGGAGAUACACUCUGAAGUCAGAGAUGGUGCUCAGUUGAUCUUCGGGGGAAAAAAAUUCCCAUAUCAGGCAAAAGCUCCAUCUGAUGACAUUUAGAGCAAAGGGCAAGAGCGCUAAGCAAGCUCUGUGGUUAUUUCUCCAUUCUGUGAAGGCUUACUGUGCCCAGCGUGCGACAGGCAUGGCUCUCAGCACAGUGAGAUCACAGGUUCAUGAGACUCAGUCCCUGCUCUGAGGAUCUGUGACCUGCCAAGGGGCAACUGCUGCCAUGGAUCAGAUGUCUACCCCCUACUGGGCAUCUCUCACAAGCCACCUGCAGUCUUUCCAAGGGGUUGCCGUGUAAGUCUUUGUGUUCCCAUCCCGAGGAUGGGGAUCUGAGGCUCGAACAGCCCUCCGCAAGCCAGCAAGAAAAACCGAGAUUGGAAAGCAAGUCCCACCCCAAACUUGUGUGCCUUUCCAGGUGUCACUGGGUCAGAUCCACCUGAAGCCUAACCUGACUGAGUAGGGAGUGUCGCACAGGUGUUCCUCUUGUAUUCUCCACUCCCUCUACAUGAAGGGAGUUUGGGUUUGCUGUAGGCACUCAGAGAACCGCAUCGUGUAUUGUCAGUUCUGUAACAGAAACUCCAUCAUCCUUCCAUGAUGCCAACCAAGUGGUCAAUCUCUAGAAAUCUGAGGUCUGCAUACUGGAAUUCCAGUUCAGUUGGCUGUGACAAGCACUCUUGCCUCCACAGUAAGUACUGACCCUCCCUGGGCCUUCAUGAUUCCCACUUUACAAACGGUGCAUCUGAAGCUGUCACGAAUUGCUCAAGGUCACUCAUGUUAUAUAAGUGAAGGAGGUUCAAGAUUCAAAAUCCAAAACACUCUGUGUAGCAUCGUUUUAAGUGACAUGUCCAAGUUUUCUGUAUAUUUUCAAGGAUAUGUCCAAGUCUAGUACGUCUUCUGCUAAGCCAGCGCGGAUGGGGAAUGCAUUCUAUGGUUCUUGAAUGGUGAGAAUGACUUUCCUUUAAAAUACCUCCUCUCUUUCUUACUUUCCUCCCAGCUCCAUUAUUGCUGGAAGAGUAUUCUACGUGUUUCUGCCUCUUCUUCCUGGUGUCUCCCACGUACUGGGCCUGGCUCCAGUGCUCUCCCUGAGCAUUCCCAGGGGACAGUCCUUGUCAUGCUAUAGCCUGUCUCUCAGUUUUCAUGAGAAAUGACUCUUUGUGGCAUUUACCAAAGGGGAAAAGUCUCCCAAGCUUCUCUAAAUAGAUUAAAGUACUGCUUUUCUCAUAGUCUUUUUAAAAGGCUUUUCUUCUCUCCUCUUUUUUUAACUUCAUGACUCAUCUCAUCACUAAGACCCAGACAGUUUGUCACAUGAAAACCACUGGGGAGUCUUCCUUUCUAUCCUUGGUGUGACUGAGACAGUGAUUGUUCUUCCUGGCCCCAGGUAACCUCCAGGGAAUACUUUUUUUAUUUUUAGAAAGAAGAAAUAUCAAAAUUAAACAUGUAAGAUUUAUUUUUUAAUGUAUUUUUGUGAUUGUAGAUGGACAGCAUGCAUUUAUUUUAUUUGUUUAUUUUCAUGUAGUCCUAAGGAUUGAACCCAGUGCCUCUCAUAUGCUAGGCAAGCGCUCUACCACUGAGCUACAGCCCCAGCCCUGAGAUUUAAUUUUUAAAUCAAUAUUGUGAUAAAAUUCAGUGGAGAUGAAAAGCUCAUUUGGGUAAGGCCACAAUCAUUUUUAUUUCUGCCCUCUUAUGAAUGCUUAGUAACAAAUUAGAAUUUUCUUUAUUUUUAGCAUAAAUCCAGUCCUGUUUGAGAGCUUCAAGGGGGUGACCAUUGGGUGGAACUGCAAGGAAAGAGCAGGGAUACCCUUCACUAUAUUUGGAGGACAUAGGUGUUUAGGGGACCCUAUCAAGAGAAAGUUGGAAUAAUUGUGGAAAAAACAAGUAGGUAGAAAGGAAAGUCCUGGUUUUUCAGGGAAUAUCCAAAAUCAUGUUUUCAACCAACACCUCUCAGUGAAGUAGUGAAAAAUCAGUGACCGAGGUGUCUACUCCAGCGUCCAAUCCCACUUCGGCUACUUAUGAACUACAUGUGGUUAGUUUGACCUCUCUGGAUUAAUAAUAGUUACUACUGCACGGGAUUAUGGGGAGGCUUCAAUGAAAUCACACAGGUAAAACCCCUGGCGCAGCGCCUACUGGUCAUCACUGUUCAAAAACAUGUUACUAUCGUUAUAAUUAUCACUAUUUUCUAGAUGUCAAUGUUCAAAGUAGUCCAAGUGGUGACAGGAUGUUUUCACUGGGUAUCCAUCCACCCUCUCGAGUUAUCAGGAUCCAAGUGGAUUUUUCACAGAUCAGGAUCACAGCAAGUCACAGGGCCAAGCCCGAAGUCUGAGAGAGGAAGUACACGCCACCCUCCAUGAGACUGUGGCAGGGCAUGCAUUCAGGAGGGUGAAGAUCGGAGCCAGUCAAUCUACCACCCUGGAUAAGUCCCCACCCUAUGCUAAAAUAUGCUCUCGCCUGAUGAAUUUUCAGGACUUUUCUUCCUUCACUUCAUCAUAUUGAGGCUCUAAGCCCCCUGUACUUCUCCCAGAAUUCUCAUUCCCUGCCCAAAAUCGGAAACUUUUACCCUUCAUUGUUUAUUUACCCCUCAUUGUUUAUUUAAAAAUGAUUACUUUUUGUGUCAUAUUUUAUUUGUGAUUGUUUGGGAGCAAAUCUAUACAGUCCCUUUUUGAACAAGUGGCAUUAGCUUUUGUGGUACUAUCUCCAUUCAUUCCCCAUAAAUAAUAAAGAAUACAGGAUUC
Marmota monax (woodchuck) is the source of this 4539-nucleotide long non-coding RNA. RefSeq lists it as uncharacterized. The record is from RefSeq and is a predicted model, not a curated record. Lineage: Eukaryota; Metazoa; Chordata; Mammalia; Rodentia; Sciuridae. The transcript has 4 exons.